Molecule: long non-coding RNA, 245 nt
Filed under: Mytilus galloprovincialis (Mediterranean mussel)
Lineage: Eukaryota; Metazoa; Mollusca; Bivalvia; Mytilida; Mytilidae
Source: RNAcentral
UUUUUUUUUAUUCUUUUAUUCUUUGCAUGUUGUUGUUCGGUUAACUUUAUUUUGUAUUCCCAUUCUGUUAGAAAUAAACUCAUCAUAGAUACCAGGAAUAAAAUUUAAUGUUUACGCCAUACGCGCGUUUCGUCUACAAAAGACUCAUCCGUGACGCUCGAAUCAAAAUUGUUCUAAAGGCCAAAUAAAGUACGAAUUUGAAGAGCAUUGAGGACCAAAAAUGAUGAUAGACUAGAGUUUUAAAU